Molecule: ribosomal RNA, 460 nt
Filed under: uncultured bacterium
Lineage: Bacteria
Description: bacterial SSU rRNA
Rfam family: Bacterial small subunit ribosomal RNA
Source: RNAcentral
CAGCAUGAGAUUAGCUUGCUAAUCUUGAUGGCGACCGGCGCACGGGUGAGUAACGCGUAUCCAACCUCCCCUUAGUAGGGCAUAGCCCGGCGAAAGUCGGAUUAAUACCCUAUGUUCUUCGUAGAGGACAUCUGAAAUGAAGCAAAGACUUGUCGCUAAGGGAUGGGGAUGCGUCUGAUUAGGUAGUCGGCGGGGUAACGGCCCACCGAGCCUGCGAUCAGUAGGGGUUCUGAGAGGAAGGUCCCCCACAUUGGAACUGAGACACGGUCCAAACUCCUACGGGAGGCAGCAGUGAGGAAUAUUGGUCAAUGGGCGAGAGCCUGAACCAGCCAAGUAGCGUGCAAGGGAUGACGGCCCUAUGGGUUGUAAACUGCUUUUAUGCGGGGAUAAAGUGCACCACGUGUGGUGUUUUGUAGGUACCGCAUGAAUAAGGACCGGCUAAUUCCGUGCCAGCAGCGGC